CUACGGGGUGCUCCAGUGGGGAAUAUUGCGCAAUGGACGAAAGUCUGACGCAGCGACGCCGCGUGUGGGAGGAAGCUCUUCGGGGUGUAAACCACUGUCAGGAGGGAAGAACGGCGCCGGCCCGAACAGGCUCGGCGAUUGACGGUACCUCCAAAGGAAGCGCCGGCUAACUCCGUGCCAGCAGCCGCGGUAAGACGGAGGCGCAAGCGUUGUUCGGAAUUACUGGGCGUAAAGCGCGGGCAGGCGGUCUGUUAAGUCGUUUGUGAAAACCCGGGGCUCAACCCCGGGAAUGCAUACGAUACUGGCAGGCUGGAGACUGGUAGAGGCUAGCGGAAUUCCUGGUGUAGCGGUGGAAUGCGUAGAUAUCAGGAAGAACACCUGUGGCGAAGGCGGCUAGCUGGGCCAGUUCUGACGCUCAUCCGCGAAAGCGUGGGGAGCAAACAGGAUUAGAUACCCGCGUAGUC
Molecule: ribosomal RNA, 464 nt
Filed under: uncultured bacterium
Lineage: Bacteria
Description: partial 16S ribosomal RNA
Rfam family: Bacterial small subunit ribosomal RNA
Source: RNAcentral